Malus domestica (apple) is the source of this 288-nucleotide long non-coding RNA. RefSeq lists it as uncharacterized. The record is from RefSeq and is a predicted model, not a curated record. NCBI's taxonomy places the organism in Eukaryota, Viridiplantae, Streptophyta, Magnoliopsida, Rosales, Rosaceae.
AAGAAGUUUAGAGUCCAAAUAUGAAGAUUUUGAGGCCCAAAGUAAUCGGAUCUCAUGAUCGAAUUGGUGGUUUUCUAAGCAUAUUACUUAAUGAUAUGGUUUGGUUGCCACUUUAAAUGUAACAAAACCGAAAAAGAAUCAUCAAUUGCUCUUUUUUGACUUGGCUCCGGUGGCCUCGCUCGUCACAAAUGACUCGGCUUGACUUCAAUCCCAAGAGGUUUAAAAAAGGUGCAUUUGACCACAUCACCAACAGCUACUACAACACGUUAGGGACAAUUAAACAAGCAC